GGUAAAGUUUGAGCACUUCCGUUGCCUUAAUACUAUGACCAAUGUAGAGCUUGAAGGCUUGGUGUAUUUGUGUUUCUUUGACGACGGAUCUUGGUUUCAGGGUACACUGCUAACCAGGGAUAAAAAACAGUAUGGAGUUAUGGGUGAAGCUUGUGGCCCACCAGAGGAAGGGUUUGCUGAAUGCUGUUUUGAAGAAGAACCAUUAUUUUACAUGAUUACCAUUAUUGACCGACAAGAUGACGAAGAAAAGGUG
This is a non-coding RNA of Pocillopora verrucosa, 253 nucleotides long. Lineage: Eukaryota; Metazoa; Cnidaria; Anthozoa; Scleractinia; Pocilloporidae. The record is from RefSeq and is a predicted model, not a curated record.